RNAcentral lists this ribosomal RNA (442 nucleotides) under uncultured bacterium. RNAcentral describes it as "bacterial SSU rRNA". It matches the Rfam family "Bacterial small subunit ribosomal RNA", at positions 958 to 1398 of the family's 1533-position model. The record is from RNAcentral.
AACGCGAAGAACCUUACCUACUCUUGACAUCCCGCGAAUCUAGCCGAGAGGUUGGAGUGCCGAAAGGAAAGCGGAGACAGGUGCUGCAUGGCUGUCGUCAGCUCGUGUUGUGAGAUGUUGGGUUAAGUCCCGUAACGAGCGCAACCCUUGUCCUUAGUUACCAGCACGCAAGGUGGGGACUCUAAGGAGACUGCCGGUGAUGAACCGGAGGAAGGCGGGGACGACGUCAAGUCAUCAUGGCCUUUAUGAGUAGGGCUACACACGUGCUACAAUGGGGCGUACAAAGGGAAGCGAACCCGCGAGGGGAAGCGAACCUCAAAAAGCGCCUCGUAGUCCGGAUUGAAGUCUGCAAUUCGACUUCAUGAAGUCGGAAUCGCUAGUAAUCGCGAAUCAGCCAUGUCGCGGUGAAUACGUUCCCGGGCCUUGUACACACCGAGACGAC